GGGCAUGCUCAAUCCGUUCCAAUCAAGGGAGGAAAAGGGGAAGAGCUCGAUUCCUAAGGGUCGAUUUGAGGUGUAAGGGGUGAUGGGAGAAAAAUCUUGGGGGAAGGACUUGGGUUUGGAGAGGAAGAAAAGGGGACCUAAGGUUUUGGAGGGAGGAAGAAGACGGUGGAAUGGGUCGGCUCAAAGAAUGGGUUUUCAACAAAAAGAAGGAGCCCGUGGGAUUUUGGCCAAAACUAUAAGUUUGCCC
RNAcentral lists this long non-coding RNA (247 nucleotides) under Elaeis guineensis (African oil palm). RNAcentral describes it as "long non-coding RNA (EGUI_LNC044683)". Lineage: Eukaryota; Viridiplantae; Streptophyta; Magnoliopsida; Arecales; Arecaceae. The record is from RNAcentral.